Molecule: long non-coding RNA, 995 nt
Organism: Dermacentor andersoni
Lineage: Eukaryota; Metazoa; Arthropoda; Arachnida; Ixodida; Ixodidae
Source: RefSeq, a predicted model, not a curated record
AGCCCUCGUCCUUCGCCGUCGUCCGUGUCUGGGAGGCGCUGGCGUCGCUCGCCGCGAGGGUGCGCUAGCGCCGGGGGCGCGAGGCGCACAAAAGCGAGACGUGGUCCGCGCAGUUGAAGCCGGCGCGCUAGGUGUCCCGCGCGGUUUGUCAAGUGUCGGCGAUGCGCAAAUGCGUGCUUUCAGUUUACGCAGUCGCAGCAACGUGAACGUCAGCCUAUAGGCAAGACAAGAACAUCAGAAGACGCCUGAGAAUUUCUCACCCGAGAGCUAUUGAUACUGUCUGGCGCCGUGGCUGCGAAUGAAAACUACCUGCCAAAACAUGCAUGCCGGCGUGGUCGUCCUGCACAGCGCCUCGUCCGAAGCGAUCCAGAGUGCAGGUCUGCUACUGGAUGGACCAACGGGAACAGCUGUCAGCUGACCACCUUCGACAAAACUUUGCGAGGCUGUUGCGAGGACAAAUGAAAACUAAAACUUUCCAUUCAAAGUUCUUCCCUGCGUGUGAAAAAACACAACGCCAAGCAUAUGGUGCAAUUCCAUGAUCAUCCGUAUGAUGUAUUGGGCACUAAGGACAAGGACAUUGCAUAAGGAUGCACAACAUGGUGCCCUACAAUGCUGAAAGCCUGACUGGUACUAAGGCAGUGUACUAGCUUGUGAGUUCCCGAGGGUUUUUCUGACAACAAUAGCGUCACCAGCCCACACUUCACCGACGACCAAUGCGAGCGCGAAGCUUUACGCUGGCAUUAAGGGUUGGCUGGCGAUGCGAAUGACCUACAUCGGCCGACAGCGAUGUCACUGUGUUGGCACGCGGUGAACGUGGGGUGGUGCCAAAGUGAUCACGUUGAAGAUAGUCGUACAUACGCUCCUUAAGCAAACAAGUAAAGAUUCAAUAACACCAACUCGCAGCCCUAUUCCCCUUCCCUUUGUUCCUUGUCAUAUUGGUUAUGUGGUAUUAAGCGACAUGCGCACUAAAAAUCACUUUCAAUGUUUCUGAAAUG